GAUGAAUGCUGGCGGCGUGCCUAAUACAUGCAAGUCGAGCGAACGGACGAGAAGCUUGCUUCUCUGAUGUUAGCGGCGGACGGGUGAGUAACACGUGGAUAACCUACCUAUAAGACUGGGAUAACUUCGGGAAACCGGAGCUAAUACCGGAUAAUAUUUUGAACCGCAUGGUUCAAAAGUGAAAGACGGUCUUGCUGUCACUUAUAGAUGGAUCCGCGCUGCAUUAGCUAGUUGGUAAGGUAACGGCUUACCAAGGCAACGAUGCAUAGCCGACCUGAGAGGGUGAUCGGCCACACUGGAACUGAGACACGGUCCAGACUCCUACGGGAGGCAGCAGUAGGGAAUCUUCCGCAAUGGGCGAAAGCCUGACGGAGCAACGCCGCGUGAGUGAUGAAGGUCUUCGGAUCGUAAAACUCUGUUAUUAGGGAAGAACAUAUGUGUAAGUAACUGUGCACAUCUUGGCGGUACCUAAUCAGAAAGCCACGGCUAACUACGUG
This 497-nucleotide ribosomal RNA is filed under the name uncultured bacterium. RNAcentral's name for it is "partial 16S ribosomal RNA". It matches the Rfam family "Bacterial small subunit ribosomal RNA", at positions 28 to 507 of the family's 1533-position model. The record is from RNAcentral.